This 371-nucleotide unclassified non-coding RNA is filed under the name soil metagenome. RNAcentral describes it as "partial contains 5.8S ribosomal RNA, internal transcribed spacer 2, and large subunit ribosomal RNA". The stretch from base 1 to 120 matches the Rfam family "5.8S ribosomal RNA", at positions 35 to 154 of the family's 154-position model. The record is from RNAcentral.
GAUGAAGAACGCAGCGAAGUGCGAUAAGUAAUGUGAAUUGCAGAAUUCCGUGAAUCAUCGAAUCUUUGAACGCAUAUUGCACUCUCUGGCAUUCCAGAGAGUAUGCCUGUUUGAGGGUCAGUUAAAUAAAAAUCGGUUUUGUUGCUGCUUUUUUGUGGUGACAUUCCGGAAUUGGGUCGUCUUUACCCUUUGGUAUGAGUGACCUAAAAUUUUUACGUGAUUUUCGAACGUAUUUAAAUAUUUACUUACGUUUGUAAUAUCGAAUACUAGAUGCGAUCAUUUUCCAUGAUUCGCGUCCAUAAUUUUUCAUCUAAUGACCUCAAAUCAGGUAAGAGUACCCGCUGAACUUAAGCAUAUCAAUAAGCGGAGGA